RNAcentral lists this long non-coding RNA (289 nucleotides) under Homo sapiens (human). RNAcentral's name for it is "HSALNT0059020". Lineage: Eukaryota; Metazoa; Chordata; Mammalia; Primates; Hominidae. The record is from RNAcentral.
AAAGUACAAUGAUAUCUGUAAGAAAUGAUGGCUCUAUCUCAGAAUGAAGAGGAGACAGAGGAGGCUAAUAUGGAUGAAACGGUUACAAAGAGAAGUUCUGGGUAAAGAAGAGGUUGUCUACUUAGAAGAAAACUACUAAUAAAUGGGGUUUGAAUCUACAUAAAAAUUAAAAGGCAUUCAUCCAGAUGAGAAGUUAAAGAGAAUUCUAAGUAUGAAGAAUGGAGAAACAUGAGAGGACUGAACAAAGCAAGAGUAAGAGAAGGCAAUUAUCAAUUUAAUCUGGGAGAAG